Long non-coding RNA from Talpa occidentalis (Iberian mole), 902 nucleotides. RefSeq lists it as uncharacterized. NCBI's taxonomy places the organism in Eukaryota, Metazoa, Chordata, Mammalia, Eulipotyphla, Talpidae. The record is from RefSeq and is a predicted model, not a curated record. The transcript has 3 exons.
AAUAGAGUCCAAUUUAUAGGAAGAAAGUUAUUCAUAGCAGGACAUGGAGCUAGUGGUGUUUUGUAGACAAUCUCAUAAAAUAUUUUGAGUUUUAACUUGUGACUAUUUUAGAAGGAACAACUUUAAAAUAUAUAGCAAUUUUGCUUAAGCAAUUCCAUCUUCUACUCAGGAGGAGUUUGGAGAGAUACCGUGAUAUUCUUUGGGACUGCUUCUUAAAGUUUGGCUUGUUUAUCUGACGUGGUAUGGUGGCACAGUAUGAGAAAAUGAUUAUUCAAAGUCCAAGCAGUUUUGUGAACAAUGAGAAGCCUAGAAGAGCUACUCAGUGAUACUCCUUUGAGAGGAGCAAUUUAAUGUGCAGUCCCCAGCCAGAGACAGUCUCGCUUUUAUUGAGUGAAAUACAGAAGAUGGAAAUCAGAGCAAGCAAGCAGGAAAGAAAAAUGUUUAGCAAGAACAGAGGAAGCCUGAUUUAAGCAAGCAUCGAUAAGAAUUAAGCAAAAAAAAGGAAAAACCUCUAGGUAAGAUUCCUAACUUGACCACUCUGCAGGCAUUGGAAGCUAAUCCUUUUGCAGGCUGUGUUCCUUACUGGAAUGAUGUCAGAGCUCCUUUACCUUUUCCAGGCUUUGAGAGAUUGGUCCUGUUUCCGAGUUCCUUACACGGUGCUCACACAGGGGGCACCAAUUGCCGUGUUACUGUGUGUGGCUCGGGAUGAGAAAAUGAUUACUCAAAGCCCAAGCAGUUUUGGAGCAAUGAGAAUAGAAGGACUAUACUGGGAUAGUUCCUUGAGAGGCACAACUUGGGGUGCAGUCCCCAGCCAGAGGCAGUCUUGCUUUUAUUGAGUGAAAUACAGAAGAUAGAAAUCAAAGAGCAGGCAAGCAAGUAGAGAAAGUCUAAGCAGGUGGGAA